AUGGCCGCAAUGUUCAAUCCUCCUCCGGCUCCAAUGGCUCUUGGGCCGCAGCCGACGUGGAUGCCCUACGAGCCGACGAGGGAUUGCUCCCAGGGCCUGUGCAGCAUGUACUGCCCGCAGUGGUGCUACUUCAUCUUCCCGCCCCCGCCGCCGGUUUUCGAUAUCGCCGGGCCCAGCGGCGACGGCGACGGCGACGACUCCUCCGGCCCCGCCUUCUCGCCCCUCGUCAUCGCCAUCAUCGGGGUGCUCGCCAGCGCCUUCCUCCUCGUCAGUUACUACACCAUCAUCUCCAAGUACUGCGGCACCUUCAGUUCCCUGCGGAACAGGCUCUUUGGCUCCGGCGCCGGCCGCGGCGGCGGCGGGGGCGGUGGGGACGGCCGGGGCGAUUCCAGGAGCCAGGAGGAGUGGGAGGUCUCGCCCUCGGACGGGAUGGACGAGACGCUGAUCAGCAAGAUCACCGUGUGCAAGUACAAGCGCGGCGACGGGUUCGUCGACUCCACCGACUGCUCCGUCUGCCUGGGCGAGUUCCAGGACGGCGAGAGCCUGCGGCUGCUGCCCAAGUGCAGCCACGCCUUCCACUUGCCAUGCAUCGACACCUGGCUCAAGUCGCACUCCAAUUGCCCGCUCUGCCGCUGCAACAUCGCAUUCGUCGCCGUCGGCAUGGUUUCGCCGGAGCCGGAGGGCCGUGCUGCGCCACUGGAGGACCGGAGGGGCAGCCACGAAUUCGCUCUGACGAUCGACGACUACUCCUCCGGGCAAGUGCGCGAAGAGCCACAGACCGUGCCGAGCAGCAACGGCGGCGGCAAUCAGGAGGCGAAGGAUCGUCCGGGGAGAUCCGAGGCAGCCAAUGGCGCAGUGGUCGAGAUCAGAGAGGACGGCGCCGUCCCGCCGGUCCCGGCCAGUGCGCCGCCUCCGAUGCCGGACACGCAGUGUGAAGCCCGCAUGUCCAUUGCCGACGUGUUGCAGGCCAGCCCAGAAGACGAGCGUACGGUGGGCAGGGAGGGCGGCCUCCUGCAGGCAGGCUCCUCGAGGCGGUGCCACGGGGAGCACAGCAAGGAUGGCGGCGGCCGAGCACCGCCGGAUGCACCGACGAAGAAGCUGCCGCCGGCUGGCAGGUCGUGCUUCAGCGGCAAGGGUGGCGGCAGAGGGAAGGAUUCAGGCCCUCCAGUGUAA
This 1173-nucleotide ribosomal RNA is filed under the name Triticum aestivum (bread wheat). Its description in RNAcentral is "partial small subunit ribosomal RNA". The record is from RNAcentral. Lineage: Eukaryota; Viridiplantae; Streptophyta; Magnoliopsida; Poales; Poaceae.